GCCUCUGUAGCUCAACGGAUAGAGCGCGCUCGUAACGAAGGCGGAGAUACGGGUUCGAAUCCCGUCAGGGGCA
RNAcentral lists this transfer RNA (73 nucleotides) under Candidatus Nanopelagicaceae bacterium. RNAcentral's name for it is "tRNA-Thr". It matches the Rfam family "tRNA". From Rfam's summary of the family: Transfer RNA (tRNA) molecules are approximately 80 nucleotides in length. Lineage: Bacteria; Bacillati; Actinomycetota; Actinomycetes; Candidatus Nanopelagicales; Candidatus Nanopelagicaceae. The record is from RNAcentral.